This 24-nucleotide non-coding RNA is filed under the name Arabidopsis thaliana (thale cress). Lineage: Eukaryota; Viridiplantae; Streptophyta; Magnoliopsida; Brassicales; Brassicaceae. The record is from RNAcentral.
GAAUUCCCUUGUAGAGUGCUUACU